Molecule: ribosomal RNA, 767 nt
Filed under: uncultured beta proteobacterium
Lineage: Bacteria; Pseudomonadati; Pseudomonadota; Betaproteobacteria
Description: bacterial SSU rRNA
Rfam family: Bacterial small subunit ribosomal RNA
Source: RNAcentral
AGAGUUUGAUCCUGGCUCAGAUUGAACGCUGGCGGCAUGCUUUACACAUGCAAGUCGAACGGCAGCACGGGAGCAAUCCUGGUGGCGAGUGGCGAACGGGUGAGUAAUACAUCGGAACGUGCCCAGUAGUGGGGGAUAGCCCGGCGAAAGCCGGAUUAAUACCGCAUAUGCCCUGAGGGGGAAAGCGGGGGACCGAAAGGCCUCGCGCUAUUGGAGCGGCCGAUGGCUGAUUAGCUAGUUGGUGGGGUAAAGGCCUACCAAGGCGACGAUCAGUAGCUGGUCUGAGAGGACGACCAGCCACACUGGGACUGAGACACGGCCCAGACUCCUACGGGAGGCAGCAGUGGGGAAUUUUGGACAAUGGGCGCAAGCCUGAUCCAGCAAUGCCGCGUGUGCGAAGAAGGCCUUCGGGUUGUAAAGCACUUUUGUUUGGAAAGAAAAGGUCAGCGCUAAUACCGCUGGCUGAUGACGGUACCAAUCGAAUAAGCACCGGCUAACUACGUGCCAGCAGCCGCGGUAAUACGUAGGGUGCAAGCGUUAAUCGGAAUUACUGGGCGUAAAGCGUGCGCAGGCGGUUGUGUAAGACAGAUGUGAAAUCCCCGGGCUUAACCUGGGAAUUGCAUUUGUGACUGCACGGCUAGAGUGCGUCAGAGGGGGGUGGAAUUCCACGUGUAGCAGUGAAAUGCGUAGAUAUGUGGAGGAACACCAAUGGCGAAGGCAGCCCCCUGGGAUGACACUGACGCUCAUGCACGAAAGCGUGGGGAGCA